GAAAUGCGAAAAGUAAUGUGAAUUGCAGAAUUCAGUGAACCAUCGAAUCUUUGAACGCACAUUGCGCCCGCUGGAACUCCGGCGGGCACGCCUGUCCGAGCGUCAUUUCAACCCUCAGGCCCCCCUUCGCGGGCGGGCCUGGUGUUGGGGCCCGGCCGCUACCCUGCGGCCGUCCCCUAAAUUCAGUGGCGGCCUCGCCGUGAUCCCUUGCGUAGUAAUGCACCUCGCACCGGAGAGCGCCGUGGCCACGCCGUAAAACCCCCAAUUUUCAAUGGUUGACCUCGGAUCAGGUGGGAAUACCCGCUGAACUUAA
Molecule: unclassified non-coding RNA, 313 nt
Filed under: uncultured fungus
Lineage: Eukaryota; Fungi
Description: sequence contains ITS1
Rfam family: 5.8S ribosomal RNA (bases 1-105)
Source: RNAcentral